This 374-nucleotide ribosomal RNA is filed under the name uncultured eukaryote. RNAcentral's name for it is "partial 18S ribosomal RNA". It matches the Rfam family "Eukaryotic small subunit ribosomal RNA", at positions 592 to 976 of the family's 1831-position model. The record is from RNAcentral.
CAAGAGCGUAUGUAAAAGUUGUUGCAGUUAAAAAGCUCGUAGUUGAACCUUGGGUUUGGUUGGCCGGUCCGCUUUUUUGCGAGUACUGGAUUCAACCGAGCCUUUCCUUCUGGCUAACUAGUCGUUUCGGCGGCUGGCGAACCAGGAUUUUUACUUUGAGAAAAUUAGAGUGUUCAAAGCAGGCAUUAGCUUGAAUAUAUUAGCAUGGAAUAAUAGAAUAGGACGUUAUGGUUCUAUUUUGUUGGUUUCUAGGACCAUCGUAAUGAUUAAUGGGGACGGUCGGGGGCAUCAGUAUUCAGUUGUCAGAGGUGAAAUUCUUGGAUUUACUGAAGACUAACUACUGCGAAAGCAUUUGCCAAGGACGUUUUCAUUAA